RNAcentral lists this ribosomal RNA (517 nucleotides) under Klebsiella pneumoniae IS33. Its description in RNAcentral is "LSU rRNA". It matches the Rfam family "Bacterial large subunit ribosomal RNA", at positions 1373 to 1876 of the family's 2925-position model. The record is from RNAcentral. Lineage: Bacteria; Pseudomonadati; Pseudomonadota; Gammaproteobacteria; Enterobacterales; Enterobacteriaceae.
GGCAGGGUGAGUCGACCCCUAAGGCGAGGCCGAAAGGCGUAGUCGAUGGGAAACAGGUUAAUAUUCCUGUACUUGGUGUUACUGCGAAGGGGGGACGGAGAAGGCUAUGUUAGCCGGGCGACGGUUGUCCCGGUUUAAGCAUGUAGGCUGGUUAUCCAGGCAAAUCCGGAUAAUCAAGGCUGAGGUGUGAUGACGAGGCACUACGGUGCUGAAGUAACAAAUGCCCUGCUUCCAGGAAAAGCCUCUAAGCAUCAGGUAACAUCAAAUCGUACCCCAAACCGACACAGGUGGUCAGGUAGAGAAUACCAAGGCGCUUGAGAGAACUCGGGUGAAGGAACUAGGCAAAAUGGUGCCGUAACUUCGGGAGAAGGCACGCUGGUGUGUAGGUGAAGUCCCUGCGGAUGGAGCUGAGACCAGUCGAAGAUACCAGCUGGCUGCAACUGUUUAUUAAAAACACAGCACUGUGCAAACACGAAAGUGGACGUAUACGGUGUGACGCCUGCCCGGUGCCGGAAGG